Molecule: ribosomal RNA, 468 nt
Filed under: uncultured bacterium
Lineage: Bacteria
Description: partial 16S ribosomal RNA
Rfam family: Bacterial small subunit ribosomal RNA
Source: RNAcentral
GACGAACGCUGGCGGCGUGCUUAGCACAUGCAAGUCGAACGGAAAGGCCCUGCUUUUGUGGGGUGCUCGAGUGGCGAACGGGUGAGUAACACGUGAGUAACCUGCCCUUGACUUUGGGAUAACUUCAGGAAACUGGGGCUAAUACCGGAUAGGAGCUCCUGCUGCAUGGUGGGGGUUGGAAAGUUUCGGCGGUUGGGGAUGGACUCGCGGCUUAUCAGCUUGUUGGUGGGGUAGUGGCUUACCAAGGCUUUGACGGGUAGCCGGCCUGAGAGGGUGACCGGCCACAUUGGGACUGAGAUACGGCCCAGACUCCUACGGGAGGCAGCAGUGGGGAAUAUUGCACAAUGGGCGGAAGCCUGAUGCGGCAACGCCGCGUGCGGGAUGACGGCCUUCGGGUUGUAAACCGCUUUCGCCUGUGACGAAGCGUGAGUGACGGUAAUGGGUAAAGAAGCACCGGCUAACUACGUG